UGCACGUUAUUUCUAUGACAUAAAACUAAAUGAGAUAUCACUCAACUCACAUGAACUUUGGAUAACAUUGUAGUUAAACAUUGAUUACUUGCAAUGCAUUAGCAACCCCAAAAUGUUAGAACUGAAUCUUGAACGCUUGUAAUAAAAUUUUACCAUCCUCAAGAAUUUAAAGAGAAAGAAAGGUUUGCACUUACAUUCCUGUUAGUCCACUGCCAAUUCAUAGU
This 224-nucleotide ribosomal RNA is filed under the name Triticum aestivum (bread wheat). RNAcentral's name for it is "partial small subunit ribosomal RNA". The record is from RNAcentral. Lineage: Eukaryota; Viridiplantae; Streptophyta; Magnoliopsida; Poales; Poaceae.